RNAcentral lists this ribosomal RNA (253 nucleotides) under uncultured bacterium. RNAcentral's name for it is "partial 16S ribosomal RNA". It matches the Rfam family "Bacterial small subunit ribosomal RNA", at positions 524 to 776 of the family's 1533-position model. The record is from RNAcentral.
UACGGGGGGGGCAAGCGUUGUCCGGAUUUAUUGGGCGUAAAGAGCGUGUAGGCGGCCAGGUAGGUCCGCUGUGAAAACUCGAGGCUCAACCUCGAGAUGUCGGCGGAAACCAUCUGGCUAGAGUCCGGAAGAGGAGAGUGGAAUUCCUGGUGUAGCGGUGAAAUGCGCAGAUAUCAGGAGGAACACCGGUGGCGAAGGCGGAUCUCUGGGCCAUUACUGACGCUGAGGAGCGAAAGCGUGGGGAGCGAACAGG